Long non-coding RNA from Cyprinus carpio (common carp), 1190 nucleotides. The record is from Ensembl. NCBI's taxonomy places the organism in Eukaryota, Metazoa, Chordata, Actinopteri, Cypriniformes, Cyprinidae.
GACCUUCGGGUUAUAAGUCCAAAUUCCAACAAAACCUUUUUUUUUCUUCCAUUCCAGGAGAUGUUUCCCUGUAAACAGUGCCAGGACGUGCUUAAUAACUCAUGAAACUUCCUGCUAACUCACAGCAGAUGCAAGACCAGCUCAGAAGAAGCUGUAUGAGGUAAGUCAAAUCUUUCUAUUUAAUAUUACUAAGCUACUGUAUAUGCUCUUUCAGUUUAUCCUUACGUGUGUAAUGGAUUGUGCAGUUAAGUUGCUUAUCAUGUUUAUGAUUUUAUAAAACAAUACGAUAGAAGAUGAUAAAACAAUAGAAGCAAUAUGAUAGAAGAUAUCAGUGUUCAAAAAAUAUUUACCUUUAUACAUGAAUAAUAUUCAGAAUGAAAUCAUCUUCCACGUUAUAUAGGUGUAAUUAGGCUUUAAUAUGUAUUUCAGACAAUUUAUAUUGAAUUUCAAAUCUGGAAAUAUCUCAUUUUUAAUAAGUUAUUAUUAUUUCUGAUAUUCCAGAUUACCAUUUGCUUAGUGAGAAUAAAGCUCUUUCUGAUUACAGAAGGACUUCUACAUUGUGGUUUUAUCUCUGACUUCAUCAUGAGGUUUCUGGUUUCACAGCCUCUGCUGGUGUUCAUAUCAGUCCUGUCACUGAGUAAAUUUUGUUAUCGGUUUGAUUAUCGGUCUUAACGUGAAAAAGACUAAAAAACAUGUGACAAACAAAUGUGUGUUUUGGAAUUUAAUAAUCUCUCUUUCUCCUUGACAGCCAGAGCACAAUCAACAUCUGCACCAAUAACAUUAUCAACAGAAGGCAUUACAACAACACCUGAACCAAACACAACAACAUUACCAGAAACCACUACAGAAACUACAUCAGUCACACCAGAAACUACAACAACACCUGCACCAACAACAACAUUGACAGAAACUACAACAGCUGUAUCAUCACCACCACUACCAACAACAACAACAUUAGGUACUUGUAGACUUUUGAAUUAGAUCUAGAUCUGUUUUUUUUUUUUUUGUUUUUUUUAGUCCCCUCUGAGAAAUCAGUUAGAAUCUUUACCAGGAAAGAAAACCACACUCAUCAAGUGAGUUCAUGAGGUAUUCUGUGGUGUUUGUAUUUGUGUUCAUUCUUCCAGAAACCACUACAGAAACUACAUCAGUCACACCAGGUAAUAAAACUGCAAGUGAUUAAAAGAAAAUCA